Long non-coding RNA from Phyllostomus discolor (pale spear-nosed bat), 101 nucleotides. RefSeq lists it as uncharacterized. The transcript has 3 exons. The record is from RefSeq and is a predicted model, not a curated record. Lineage: Eukaryota; Metazoa; Chordata; Mammalia; Chiroptera; Phyllostomidae.
CCCCCUGAGGGUGCUUCCCUUCCCCCGACGGCUCCUGGGGGGAGUGACGCCCGUCUGCCCUGGGAAGACGCAGAGCCUCGGGUCCGGCACGGGCACCCUGG